This 368-nucleotide ribosomal RNA is filed under the name Klebsiella pneumoniae. Its description in RNAcentral is "bacterial SSU rRNA". The record is from RNAcentral. Lineage: Bacteria; Pseudomonadati; Pseudomonadota; Gammaproteobacteria; Enterobacterales; Enterobacteriaceae.
UCCUACGGGAGGCAGCAGUGGGGAAUAUUGCACAAUGGGCGCAAGCCUGAUGCAGCCAUGCCGCGUGUAUGAAGAAGSCCUUCGGGUUGUAAAGUACUUUCAGCGGGGAGGAAGGCGAUAAGGUUAAUAACCUUGUCGAUUGACGUUACCCGCAGAAGAAGCACCGGCUAACUCCGUGCCAGCAGCCGCGGUAAUACGGAGGGUGCAAGCGUUAAUCGGAAUUACUGGGCGUAAAGCGCACGCAGGCGGUCUGUCAAGUCGGAUGUGAAAUCCCCGGGCUCAACCUGGGAACUGCAUUCGAAACUGGCAGGCUAGAGUCUUGUAGAGGGGGGUAGAAUUCCAGGUGUAGCGGUGAAAUGCGUAGAGAU